This 468-nucleotide ribosomal RNA is filed under the name uncultured bacterium. Its description in RNAcentral is "partial 16S ribosomal RNA". It matches the Rfam family "Bacterial small subunit ribosomal RNA", at positions 28 to 507 of the family's 1533-position model. The record is from RNAcentral.
GACGAACGCUGGCGGCGUGCUUAACACAUGCAAGUCGAACGGAAAGGCCCUGCUUUUGUGGGGUGCUCGAGUGGCGAACGGGUGAGUAACACGUGAGUAACCUGCCCUUGACUUUGGGAUAACUUCAGGAAACUGGGGCUAAUACCGGAUAGGAGCUCCUGCUGCAUGGUGGGGGUUGGAAAGUUUCGGCGGUUGGGGAUGGACUCGCGGCUUAUCAGCUUGUUGGUGGGGUAGUGGCUUACCAAGGCUUUGACGGGUAGCCGGCCUGAGAGGGUGACCGGCCACAUUGGGACUGAGAUACGGCCCAGACUACUACGGGAGGCAGCAGUGGGGAAUAUUGCACAAUGGGAGGAAGCAUGAUGCAGCAACGCCGCGUGCGGGAUGACGGCCUUCGGGUUGUAAACCGCUUUCGCCUGUGACGAAGCGUGAGUGACGGUAAUGGGUAAAGAAGCACCGGCUAACUACGUG